This 16-nucleotide small RNA is filed under the name Arabidopsis thaliana (thale cress). RNAcentral's name for it is "ATSL185830". The record is from RNAcentral. Lineage: Eukaryota; Viridiplantae; Streptophyta; Magnoliopsida; Brassicales; Brassicaceae.
AAACAGAAAACCAAAA